GUGGGGAAUAUUGGACAAUGGGCGAAAGCCUGAUCCAGCCAUGCCGCGUGUGUGAAGAAGGUCUUCGGAUUGUAAAGCACUUUAAGUUGGGAGGAAGGGCAGUAAGUUAAUACCUUGCUGUUUUGACGUUACCGACAGAAUAAGCACCGGCUAACUUCGUGCCAGCAGCCGCGGUAAUACGUAGGGUGCAAGCGUUAAUCGGAAUUACUGGGCGUAAAGCGCGCGUAGGUGGUUUUGUAAGUUGGAGGUGAAAUCCCCGGGCUCAACCUGGGAACUGCCUCCAAAACUGCAUGACUAGAGUACGGUAGAGGGUAGUGGAAUUUCCUGUGUAGCGGUGAAAUGCGUAGAUAUAGGAAGGAACACCAGUGGCGAAGGCGACUACCUGGACUGAUACUGACACUGAGGUGCGAAAGCGUGGGGAGCAAACAGGAUUAGAUACACGUGUAGUCC
RNAcentral lists this ribosomal RNA (450 nucleotides) under uncultured bacterium. Its description in RNAcentral is "partial 16S ribosomal RNA". It matches the Rfam family "Bacterial small subunit ribosomal RNA", at positions 354 to 796 of the family's 1533-position model. The record is from RNAcentral.